Long non-coding RNA from Drosophila erecta, 297 nucleotides. RefSeq lists it as uncharacterized. The record is from RefSeq and is a predicted model, not a curated record. Lineage: Eukaryota; Metazoa; Arthropoda; Insecta; Diptera; Drosophilidae. The transcript has 2 exons.
GUUGAUUUUAAUGCUCAAAGCGGCACAUUUGCUGCGCCACAUUAAGAAACUAGAAUUUGCCUUAAAGAGGUGGCAGUACGAGUACGAGGAGCCAGGAAAGGGUUACGAUAAACCGCUCACGAGCACUACAAGGAACUCCCGCCCGGAAAAGCAGGAUCCUGAAAUCAAAACAACAUUUCGAUGGCUGUCCGAAAAACGUAAAAUGUGAAUAAACGUGAUAAAGAACGGACAUAUAUCUUUCCUGCUGACUUAAGACGUUUUGGAUUUCUGGACCAACGUGUGAGAAAUAGAGAGGAA